UACGAAGGGGGCUAGCGUUGUUCGGAAUUACUGGGCGUAAAGCGCGCGCAGGCGGCUCUUCAAGUCAGGGGUGAAAGCCCAGAGCUCAACUCUGGAACUGCCUUUGAGACUGAAGAGCUUGAGUACGGGAGAGGUGAGUGGAAUUCCCAGUGUAGAGGUGAAAUUCGUAGAUAUUGGGGAAGAACACCGAAUGGCGAAGGCGAGCACUCGUGGGAC
This 216-nucleotide ribosomal RNA is filed under the name uncultured bacterium. RNAcentral describes it as "partial 16S ribosomal RNA". It matches the Rfam family "Bacterial small subunit ribosomal RNA", at positions 524 to 740 of the family's 1533-position model. The record is from RNAcentral.